GGUACGUUAGUUCAGAUGGUUAGAAUGCCUGCCUGUCACGCAGGAGGUCACGGGUUCGAGUCCCGUACGUACCG
This 74-nucleotide transfer RNA is filed under the name Methanobrevibacter sp. Its description in RNAcentral is "tRNA-Asp". It matches the Rfam family "tRNA". From Rfam's summary of the family: Transfer RNA (tRNA) molecules are approximately 80 nucleotides in length. The record is from RNAcentral. Lineage: Archaea; Methanobacteriati; Methanobacteriota; Methanobacteria; Methanobacteriales; Methanobacteriaceae.